This 799-nucleotide ribosomal RNA is filed under the name uncultured Mycobacterium sp. Its description in RNAcentral is "bacterial SSU rRNA". It matches the Rfam family "Bacterial small subunit ribosomal RNA", at positions 555 to 1351 of the family's 1533-position model. Lineage: Bacteria; Bacillati; Actinomycetota; Actinomycetes; Mycobacteriales; Mycobacteriaceae. The record is from RNAcentral.
UGGGCGUAAAGAGCUCGUAGGUGGUUUGUCGCGUUGUUCGUGAAAUCUCACGGCUUAACUGUGAGCGUGCGGGCGAUACGGGCAGACUUGAGUACUGCAGGGGAGACUGGAAUUCCUGGUGUAGCGGUGGAAUGCGCAGAUAUCAGGAGGAACACCGGUGGCGAAGGCGGGUCUCUGGGCAGUAACUGACGCUGAGGAGCGAAAGCGUGGGGAGCGAACAGGAUUAGAUACCCUGGUAGUCCUCGCCGUAAACGGUGGGUACUAGGUGUGGGUUUCCUUCCUUGGGAUCCGUGCCGUAGCUAACGCAUUAAGUACCCCGCCUGGGGAGUACGGCCGCAAGGCUAAAACUCAAAGAAAUUGACGGGGGCCCGCACAAGCGGCGGAGCAUGUGGAUUAAUUCGAUGCAACGCGAAGAACCUUACCUGGGUUUGACAUGCACAGGACGCCGGCAGAGAUGUCGGUUCCCUUGUGGCCUGUGUGCAGGUGGUGCAUGGCUGUCGUCAGCUCGUGUCGUGAGAUGUUGGGUUAAGUCCCGCAACGAGCGCAACCCUUGUCUCAUGUUGCCAGCGGGUAAUGCCGGGGACUCGUGAGAGACUGUCCGGGGUCAACUCGGAGGAAGGUGGGGAUGACGUCAAGUCAUCAUGCCCCUUAUGUCCAGGGCUUCACACAUGCUACAAUGGCCGGUACAAAGGGCUGCGAUGCCGCGAGGUUAAGCGAAUCCUUUUAAAGCCGGUCUCAGUUCGGAUCGGGGUCUGCAACUCGACCCCGUGAAGUCGGAGUCGCUAGUAAUCGCAGAUCA